This 63-nucleotide non-coding RNA is filed under the name Nitrincola iocasae. The record is from RNAcentral. Lineage: Bacteria; Pseudomonadati; Pseudomonadota; Gammaproteobacteria; Oceanospirillales; Oceanospirillaceae.
ACGCGAAACGCCCUGAUCGGGCGUCUGCAGACAUGGCACCCCUGCACUGAUGAGCAGCCACUA